CUCUGCAGCUGCUGGCUCAGGGUGGAGACCAGGGUCACAGGGUACGUGAAUGCUUUCUCUUUCUUGCUCAGUUCUGGGGCUCAGUUCUGGGGCAUUGGGCUCAGCUUGCCUCCUUUAGGAGCUUUACCACAAGGUAAAAUGUUAAGCAGACACACUGUAAGAAUUGCUUUUUUUAGAAACCAGCAUUGAGGAAUCCAUGGAAAACCCACCACGAACUGCCUCAGAAGCUCGCUUCUCAGGGGCCAAUGUGGGUCGUAGGUGUAGUUACCUUGCUCCUCCCUGAGCCCAUGCUGGCCAGUGGGAAGUUAUGUUCAUGCUUUUUUAUGCUUCCAGGUGUGUCUGUCUAUUCUUCCCUAAGCUUUGCCCUUAAGGAGUCACUGCAGAAGUUGAUACGUAUAUUUUCAUGAUGCCAAACACAUUUUUGAAAUUAUUCUUUGGUAAUUUGGAGAACAAAUUUAUGUCAAGAAAAUCAUGAUUGUUUUACAGCUGUACUGCUUUGCAAAGCUAGCUUCCUCAACUGAGCUGGCUUCUGCACGAAUUUCUCAUUUCAUAAAUAAAAUCUGAUUUCUCUGAAGAUAUUCAAAAGAAAGUGCUAUAAGCUUUGGGUCUGAUUUCAAGAAGGGGAUUCCAAAAGUUUGCUGAAAUUUACAGCAACUAGGUCUCCAGGAAUAUUGCUUUAAUUUAUUUGGCUGGAUUAAGACUGGAAUAUUUAUUUUAGAAAAAUCAAGCAAACCACAUUUGAUUUCUUGACAGAGGGUCUCUUUUCUCCUAGGAGGGUCACACAUCUUGGAAAAAACUCCAAGGUUUUUCAUCAUCGCAGAAUCCCUUACACUGAAAUUUAAUGACCAAGCAAAAUGGCAGUUUAUUUCUAAUCAGUAAAACUUCCAUUAGACAACAUUCCUGCAGGAAGGGUAGAAGGCAACUCAUUAUGAAAUCCAGAAGCAAGAUUUUCUCUGAUUUCUGCAAGAGGGAUCAAGGCAACAAUGUACAGAGAGCUUCCAAGGUUUUUCCUGUCCAUUUAUUCAACAAAUAGUUUUGAGUUUCUACAAUAUUCCAGGCCUGGUGUUCUAGCGAACAAUGCAUCCUCUCACGAGACUGAAAAGUAGGGGAGAGGUAGUAACCAAACAGUCAUAUAAGUAGGUUAAAAUUAGAACUAUGAUAAAUUCUGUGAAAAAGAGAUGUACAGUGUUAUGGGAACCUGUAAGAAUGGGAUUAGACCCAAUUCUUGGGUUGGAGAAGGUUUUCCUGAGAAAGUGAGGUAGAGUUGAGAUCUUAAUGAUAGUCAGGAUUCAAAGAUAGCCUUCUUGUUCCCGUUGUUGUGUCUUUAUAAACUCUUCCCUUUCAGUGUGGGCAGAACCUGUGAUUCACUCAUAACCAAUAGAUUGCGGCAAAGGUGAUGGGAAAGCAGUCCUAUGAUUAAGUUGUAACACAUAUUAGAGCAGUGAAAAUAAAGAAAACCAGAUGAGUUUGAGAAAAUUCCGAAGGUAAAACGUAUGGGACUCUGUGAUGGUUUAGAGACAAGGGUAUGAAUGUGGGAAGUACCAAAAACAGCACUUUGGUUUCUGUCUUGGUCAUUCUUGGGCAUGAGUAACAUUGAAAGACAGAUCUGAGAUAUGGGAUCAAAGAUCAUGACUUUUGUUUGAACACAGCUUUCUCAGGUGGCUCAUUUGUAAGGAAUCUGCCUGCCAAUGUAGGAGACACAGGAGAUGCAGGUUCAAUUCCCGGGUCGA
RNAcentral lists this long non-coding RNA (1730 nucleotides) under Capra hircus (goat). RNAcentral describes it as "lncRNA (ENSCHIG00010022259.1)". The record is from RNAcentral. Lineage: Eukaryota; Metazoa; Chordata; Mammalia; Artiodactyla; Bovidae.